UCGCUGCUCCUCAUCUUCUUCUCAAUCCUCCAUCCCCCAAUUCAAUCCUAUCCAUCUCCCUCUCCCUCAUCCGCCGCCACCACUGGCAACCUCGGUGCCCCUCUCCCUAACUGCCACCGCCCCCACCCUCUCCCCCAUCCCCUGCUCUCACCUUCUCUCCUUAAACUAGGCGGCCCCCAGAACGAGCAGGCCGAGGCGCUUCUCGAUUUGGCGGCGCUUCUUCCAGAUCCGCCGAGCAGCGCCAGAGGUCGGCUCCUUCUUCGCUUGUUCUGCGCCAAGGUUGGCCUCCCCUUCCUUUUCCGUGUGGUCCAUGGCGCUAACCCCGGACGGUGAGGCACUCAAUACCAUGGCCGGACGGAGGUUGGGAGAUUUUCUUCCCUGACCUCGCCGCCUAGCCACUCCAUGGCGAGCUUCUCGCCCCCAGUGUUUUUCUCUCUUAGAAUCAUAUUCUGGUCAGGCUGCUUGUGCUGUCAAAUUUGAACUAUUUAUUAGGAUUGAUUUCUAUGCCACUAAUGCCUACUACCUUCUCCACCCAUCCAAUGGCGUACAAGACGCCCUCCUCCUCGAUGCAGUUGUUCCCAAUGAGCUCUCUUUGCCGGAAGAGGUGUAGAAGCAAGUCCAGCACCCCCUUGGCCCCUGCAUCCUGUCCUACAUCACCUGGAUGAGCUCACUGAUGGCUGCAUCCUCCUUACCUCCUAGCGUGAUAUUGGUUUAUGGGAGCAUUUUCAACAACAAAGACAUGACGAGCGGGUCCACAGCCAGGAAUGUGGGGUCCCCUGGUUGUUCGACGAGCAUUGUGCGUUGCUUGAUGGGUGUGGUGCUGGCUGUAGAGUAGCAUAGUGUUCUUUGAGACAUGCUUGUAGAAUUAAUCUUUUUUGGAUUCUUUUUUUGCUCAUGUACAUGUGUAUUUUUGGGUGUGUUCAUGUAAUUUUUUUAAGGAUCUGAACAUAUAUUUUCUGUUAAAUUAUUAUUGGCUUAAAAUUUCCAGGGACCAA
This is a long non-coding RNA of Triticum dicoccoides, 995 nucleotides long. RefSeq lists it as uncharacterized. The record is from RefSeq and is a predicted model, not a curated record. Lineage: Eukaryota; Viridiplantae; Streptophyta; Magnoliopsida; Poales; Poaceae. The transcript has 4 exons.